GUUCAAAGUCGUGAGAAUCCAAUUUUCUGCCACCGAAUACAUUAGCAUGGGAUAAUGGAAUAGGACCCUGUCCUCCUAUUUUCAGUUGGUUUUGGCAGCGCGAGGACUAGGGUAAUGAUUAAUAGGGAUAGUUGGGGGCAUUAAUAUUUAAUUGUCAGAGGUGAAAUUCUUGGAUUUAUGAAAGAUUAACUUCUGCGAAAGCAUCUGCCAAGGAUGUUUUCAUUAAUCAAGAACGAAAGUUAGGGGAUCGAAGACGAUCAGAUACCGUCGUAGUCUUAACCAUAAACGAUGCCGACCAGCGAUUAGGAGACGUUGAAUACAAAACACCACCAUCGGUUGCGCGGUCGUCCUUGGCGUCUCGGUUUCGGCCGGGGCGCGGGGAUGGCUUAGCCCGGUGGCACCGGUGAAUGACUCCCCUAGCAGCUUGUGAGAAAU
This 435-nucleotide ribosomal RNA is filed under the name Acanthamoeba culbertsoni. RNAcentral describes it as "SSU rRNA". It matches the Rfam family "Eukaryotic small subunit ribosomal RNA", at positions 773 to 1098 of the family's 1831-position model. The record is from RNAcentral. Lineage: Eukaryota; Discosea; Longamoebia; Acanthamoebidae.